GCCCAAAUGCAGCUGAGAUAGGCUCCAGCACCCCCCGCCACCCAGAAAGGGACAAACGCAGCGCACUUUCGACUUCUGGCAACAAAUGUGUGUUCCUACUUCCGGAUACAAAGAGGAUGGACUACUGCUUCUAGAAGCGAGCACGAAGGAAGAGUGAGACGUUGGAGCAGACGGAAGCCGAGAGAGUGAGGUGAAAGUGACUCGAAGACGCAAAAUGUGGAAUUUGAAGUCAUGCUGUUUUGACAUAAAUGGAGUGCUUACCCCAAAAACAUCCCCGGCCAGCUCGACCAAAAGCACAACUGUCUAUCGAGUGAGUCACACUUUAUAUUGAUCAUGAUACACGCAGCACGUCAUGCGUGUUAUUACAACUACAGUACAUACGCUGUCAAACUAGCUGUGUACAAACAAAACAUGAAGU
Entelurus aequoreus (snake pipefish) is the source of this 418-nucleotide long non-coding RNA. RefSeq lists it as uncharacterized. The record is from RefSeq and is a predicted model, not a curated record. Lineage: Eukaryota; Metazoa; Chordata; Actinopteri; Syngnathiformes; Syngnathidae. The transcript is spliced from 3 exons.